ACAUUAGACGCCUCAUUAUUCAUCGGAGAUGCUACUUGAUUAGGGAGUCCUCCUUUGUUCCACAUUCGUAUUCACGGACAACUCAAAGCAGCUGUAUGAUCUUCAUUAUUUAACAAUGUCUGCUAGACAGAUUAUGUAUACUGAUAUAUAUUGAUGGUUUCGAACACCACAUCCAUUUCUAGGUACCAUGCAGUUUAUUUUGAUUCCAGCUAAAGCUAUAUUAUUGUCUUCUCUUUUUUGUUUUCUAAAAUAUAUUAUCAUGUUCUCGAUACCUUUUUUCUUUUCAUGGGUGAAUAAAUAUGUAUAGAGUUAUAUGCUCAGGUCUCAUAAAACUAUAUAAAAAACUUCUAGGGAUCAGUGAUGCGAAAGGGGGUUAUGCUAAUGAAAGUUCAUAUAAGGAACAUUGCUUAGAUAAUGAUGAGCAUACCCUUUGUUUCUACUCUCUCAAGGUAUAUUUUGGGCCUGAUUCUAGAUGUGCGUCGUUAGCCAGAUUUUGUCCUAGAAAUGAAGUAGUUGCAAAAAUCACAUUUCAAACAAUCUAGAGAGGUUAUGAAUAAACCAUCAAGUUCCAGAUCCUUUUGAAAAGUAUUGUCCUGCCAAAUGACCU
Lolium rigidum is the source of this 607-nucleotide long non-coding RNA. RefSeq lists it as uncharacterized. The record is from RefSeq and is a predicted model, not a curated record. NCBI's taxonomy places the organism in Eukaryota, Viridiplantae, Streptophyta, Magnoliopsida, Poales, Poaceae. The transcript is spliced from 3 exons.